GGGGAUACUCCGGGAACCGGAGCUAAUACCGGAUAACACAUAUCUUCGCAUGAGGAUAUGUUAGAAGGUGGCUUUUAGCUACCACUCAAGGAUGGGCCCGCGGCGCAUUAGCUAGUUGGUGAGGUAACGGCUCACCAAGGCGACGAUGCGUAGCCGACCUGAGAGGGUGAUCGGCCACACUGGGACUGAGACACGGCCCAGACUCCUACGGGAGGCAGCAGUAGGGAAUCUUCCGCAAUGGACGAAAGUCUGACGGAGCAACGCCGCGUGAGUGAUGAAGGUUUUCGGAUCGUAAAGCUCUGUUGUUAGGGAAGAACAAGUACCUGUUAAAUAAGCAGGUACCUUGACGGUACCUAACCAGAAAGCCACGGCUAACUACGUGCCAGCAGCCGCGGGUAAUACGAA
This 405-nucleotide ribosomal RNA is filed under the name Priestia endophytica. RNAcentral's name for it is "bacterial SSU rRNA". It matches the Rfam family "Bacterial small subunit ribosomal RNA", at positions 140 to 529 of the family's 1533-position model. The record is from RNAcentral. Lineage: Bacteria; Bacillati; Bacillota; Bacilli; Caryophanales; Bacillaceae.